RNAcentral lists this ribosomal RNA (245 nucleotides) under uncultured Bacteroidales bacterium. Its description in RNAcentral is "partial 16S ribosomal RNA". It matches the Rfam family "Bacterial small subunit ribosomal RNA", at positions 524 to 769 of the family's 1533-position model. Lineage: Bacteria; Pseudomonadati; Bacteroidota; Bacteroidia; Bacteroidales. The record is from RNAcentral.
UACGGAGGAUGCGAGCGUUAUCCGGAUUUAUUGGGUUUAAAGGGUGCGUAGGCGGGUGAUUAAGUCUGUGGUGAAAGCGUGCGGCUCAACCGUACCGAGCCAUGGAAACUGGUUGUCUUGAGUAUAGACGAGGUAGGCGGAAUGUGAUGUGUAGCGGUGAAAUGCUUAGAUAUGUCACAGAACUCCGAUUGCGAAGGCAGCUUACCAGGCUAUAACUGACGCUGAGGCACGAAAGCGUGGGUAUC